Molecule: ribosomal RNA, 441 nt
Filed under: uncultured bacterium
Lineage: Bacteria
Description: partial 16S ribosomal RNA
Rfam family: Bacterial small subunit ribosomal RNA
Source: RNAcentral
CCUACGGGUGGCAGCAGUGGGGAAUAUUGCACAAUGGGGGAAACCCUGAUGCAGCGACGCCGCGUGAGUGAAGAAGUAUUUCGGUAUGUAAAGCUCUAUCAGCAGGGAAGAAGAAAGACGGUACCUGACUAAGAAGCCCCGGCUAACUACGUGCCAGCAGCCGCGGUAAUACGGAGGGGGCACGCGUUAUCAGGAUUUACGGGGUGUAAGGGGAGCGUAGACGGCUGUGCAGGUCUGAAGGGAAAGCCCAGGGCUCAACCCUGGGACUGCUUUGGAAAAUGGGGAGCUAGAGGGCUGGGGAGGGAAGUGGAAGUCCUAGUGUAGCGGUGAAAGGCGUAGAUAUUAGGAAGAACACCAGUGGCGAAGGCGGCUUUCUGGACUGAAACUGACGCGGAGGCACGAAAGCGUGGGGAGCGAACAGGAUUAGAUACCCCAGUAGUC